This 396-nucleotide ribosomal RNA is filed under the name uncultured bacterium. RNAcentral describes it as "partial 16S ribosomal RNA". It matches the Rfam family "Bacterial small subunit ribosomal RNA", at positions 523 to 918 of the family's 1533-position model. The record is from RNAcentral.
AUACGUAGGGGGCGAGCGUUGUCCGGAAUGAUUGGGCGUAAAGGGCGCGUAGGCGGCCCGGUAAGUCUGGAGUGAAAGUCCUGUUUUUAAGAUGGGAAUUGCUUUGGAUACUGUCGGGCUUGAGUGCAGGAGAGGUAAGUGGAAUUCCCAGUGUAGCGGUGAAAUGCGUAGAGAUUGGGAGGAACACCAGUGGCGAAGGCGACUUACUGGACUGUAACUGACGCUGAGGCGCGAAAGUGUGGGGAGCAAACAGGAUUAGAUACCCUGGUAGUCCACGCUGUAAACGAUGAUGACUAGGUGUGGGGGGACUGAACCCUUCCGUGCCGCAGUUAACACAAUAAGCAUUCCGCCUGGGGAGUACGGCCGCAAGGUUGAAACUCAAAUGAAUUGGCGGGG